UGAGGAAUAUUGGACAAUGGGCGCAAGCCUGAUCCAGCAAUGCCGCGUGCAGGAUGAAGGCCUUCGGGUUGUAAACUGCUUUUGUACGGAGCGAAAAGGUCUGCCCUAAUACGGUGGGCUCAUGACGGUACCGUAAGAAUAAGCACCGGCUAACUACGUGCCAGCAGCCGCGGUAAUACGUAGGGUGCGAGCGUUAAUCGGAAUUACUGGGCGUAAAGCGUGCGCAGGCGGUUAUAUAAGACAGAUGUGAAAUCCCCGGGCUCAACCUGGGACCUGCAUUUGUGACUGUAUAGCUAGAGUACGGUAGAGGGGGAUGGAAUUCCGCGUGUAGCAGUGAAAUGCGUAGAUAUGCGGAGGAACACCGAUGGCGAAGGCAAUCCCCUGGACCUGGACUGACGCUCAUGCACGAAAGCGUGGGGAGCAAACA
This 427-nucleotide ribosomal RNA is filed under the name uncultured bacterium. RNAcentral's name for it is "bacterial SSU rRNA". It matches the Rfam family "Bacterial small subunit ribosomal RNA", at positions 355 to 774 of the family's 1533-position model. The record is from RNAcentral.